Molecule: long non-coding RNA, 1403 nt
Filed under: Cottoperca gobio
Lineage: Eukaryota; Metazoa; Chordata; Actinopteri; Perciformes; Bovichtidae
Description: lncRNA (ENSCGOG00000000049.1)
Source: RNAcentral
CAUCUUCCAACCGUUUCAGAAAUGAACACAUGACAUUUCAGCCGCAGGUUUCUGAGACGACUGAUAAAUAAAUGCAUCUGGUAGUUUAUUUAAUUAAUAAGGUCUUUGUUAUUAUUAAAUAUAAUAUACAAAGAAGAAAACGAAGCGGUGUUUAAAGAAUGAUUAUUGUUAUUGUAAGUUACAUGAGCCGCAGGAGGAAAACAGGCAGUAAUACCAGUUUCAUUUCUGACUCCAUUCGUCAGAACUUCCUCUUAGAUCAAAAUAAAACUGUAUUUUAAUCGCAUGUCACACAAUAAGGUCCACAAAGCUGCAGAGAUGUUUCCUCUCUACUUUGUCCUCGUCGCUGGAAGCUUCUGUCUCAGCUCUGCUGACAUUCAUCAAGAGACUGUGCUGCAGAACACGGUGGCUACACUUCCCUGUCCUCACAAGAAAGGAGAUGUCAUAUGGAGCCGGUAUCUGUCUGGUGACCGGGCGACUCUUGUCACCAUUAAAAAUGGCCUCGAGAAAAAAAAAGACAGACGCUAUGGUUCCCUGGCAGAUAAUUCACUGGUGAUAACAAAUGUUACAUCAUUUGAUACUACGACGUAUUUUUGUAAUGAUUUUCGAGUAUAUCUGGAAGUGACAUCAGAUCCCAGCCCCGUGAUCCCUAAAGCUGGAAAUGUACCAGUUACACCAAGAACCGAUGGACCAGGCCAGAAGGGAAUCACUACAGAGGCAGAGAACCACCAACCAGACUCUUGGAAAGUACCCGUUGGUGUAGUCGUGGUUGCUGCGAUGCUGCUUUUUGUGACUUUAAUCCUGAGAUUCUGCUCUAAAAACAGAGAAGAGAGAAACCCCAAAAUGGACAAAACUGCACCCGAGGUGAUUUACGCGGAGAUAGAAGAUGUUGAGGAGCAGCCAGGGAGGGAGUCUUAUUUUGAAAGUCCGUACUACUGGACAAGAAUCAGUGAAACGCCAAGCACAAGCACCCCCCCCAGUAAUACUCUGUACAGCACUGCUCUGUACAGCACUGUUAACAAGCGACCAGCUGGAGGACACAGCAGGGAGGAGUGUGUGUAUUCCCUGGCCCAAAAUCCAGAAUCCAAAGGAAUGUAGUUAUCUUUUAAUCUGAUAUUAUUUCCAGUGCAGCAUCAGUGAUAUUGGUGAGAAGAGGUGUCUGCACAGAGCCCAAAGGAUAUUUAAAGACAACACCCGCCCCAGCAACAGCCCGUUUCCUCCUGCUGACAUCUGGCAAGCGAUGCAGAAGUAUCCACUCCUGUACCACCAGACUACAGAGCAGUUUCUUUCCUCAGACAUCCUCUGUACGCCGCCAUUAAAAUAAAACAUUUUUUUCUUGUGAAGCAUUUCUUUGUGCAACUCUGUGUUGUUGUAGAAUUAGUGACAAUAAAUUGAUGCAACCUUGA